AUACGUAGGGGGCGAGCGUUGUCCGGAAUGACUGGGCGUAAAGGGCGUGUAGGCGGCCAAUUAAGUCUGGAGUGAAAGUCCUGCAUUCAAUGUGGGAAUUGCUUUGGAGACUGGUUGGCUUGAGUGCGGAAGAGGUAAGUGGAAUUCCCAGUGUAGCGGUGAAAUGCGUAGAGAUUGGGAGGAACACCAGUGGCGAAGGCGACUUACUGGGCCGUAACUGACGCUGAGGCGCGAAAGCGUGGGGAGCGAACAGGAUUAGAUACCCUGGUAGUCCACGCGGUAAACGAUGAAUGCUAGGUGUUGCGGGUAUCGACCCCUGCAGUGCCGGAGUAAACACAAUAAGCAUUCCGCCUGGGGAGUACGGCCGCAAGGUUGAAACUCAAAUGAAUUGGCGGGG
This 397-nucleotide ribosomal RNA is filed under the name uncultured bacterium. RNAcentral's name for it is "partial 16S ribosomal RNA". It matches the Rfam family "Bacterial small subunit ribosomal RNA", at positions 523 to 918 of the family's 1533-position model. The record is from RNAcentral.